AGGACGAACGCUGGCGGCGUGCUUAACACAUGCAAGUCGAGCGGAAAGGCCCUUCGGGGUACUCGAGCGGCGAACGGGUGAGUAACACGUGAGUAAUCUGCCCCUAGCUCUGGGAUAGCUCCGGGAAACCGGGAUUAAUACCAGAUACGACCACUUUAGACAUCUGUUGUGGUGGAAAGAAUUUUGGCUAGGGAUGAGCUCGCGGCCUAUCAGCUUGUUGGUGAGGUAACGGCUCACCAAGGCGACGACGGGUAGCCGGCCUGAGAGGACGAUCAGCCACACUGGGACUGAGACACGGCCCAGACUCCUACGGGAGGCAGCAGUUAGGAAUUUUCCGCAAUGGGCGAAAGCCUGACGGAGCAACGCCGCGUGAGUGAUGAAGACCUUCGGUUGUAAGCUCUGUCGGAGGGGAAGAACGACAAUGACGGUACCUCCAAGAAGACCCGGCUAACUACGUGCCAGCAGCCGC
This 469-nucleotide ribosomal RNA is filed under the name uncultured bacterium. RNAcentral describes it as "SSU rRNA". It matches the Rfam family "Bacterial small subunit ribosomal RNA", at positions 26 to 518 of the family's 1533-position model. The record is from RNAcentral.